GGCUUUGCUCCUGCACUCUUGUCAGUGGCCCUGGUAUGGGGUUGUUCAGGAGUUCAACCAGCUUCCCUGGUGCUGCAACUUGGUUCUUUGGUUCUCUGAUUCUGAGUGUGCCCGGCGGGCCCUGGAACAGUUGAAUGGCUUUGAGCUUGCUGGUCGACCUAUGAGGGUUGGCCAUGUGACUGAGCGACUGGAUGGUGGCACAGACAUCACUUUUCCUGAUGGGGACCAGGAGCUGGAUCUGGGAUCAGCAGGUGGACGUUUGCAGCUCAUGGCAAAACUGGCAGAAGGCUCUGGAAUCCAACUGCCAACCACUGCUGCUGCUGCUGCUGCUGCUGCUGCCCAAGCUGCUGCCUUGCAACUGAAUGGAGCAGUUCCCUUGGGGGCCCUGAAUCCAGCAGCUCUGACUGCUCUGAGUCCAGCCCUGAACCUUGCCUCCCAGUGUUUCCAGCUCUCCAGCCUCUUUACCCCCCAGA
Molecule: small RNA, 473 nt
Filed under: Pongo abelii (Sumatran orangutan)
Lineage: Eukaryota; Metazoa; Chordata; Mammalia; Primates; Hominidae
Description: processed transcript
Source: RNAcentral